UUGAAAUCUGGCACUUGUGCCCGAGUUGUAAUUUGUAGAGGAUGCUUUUGGCGACGCGCCUUCCGAGUUCCCUGGAACGGGACGCCAUAGAGGGUGAGAGCCCCGUCCGGUCGUGCGCCUAGCCUCUGUAAAGCUCCUUCGACGAGUCGAGUAGUUUGGGAAUGCUGCUCUAAAUGGGAGGUAUACGUCUUCUAAAGCUAAAUACCGGCCAGAGACCGAUAGCGCACAAGUAGAGUGAUCGAAAGAUGAAAAGCACUUUGAAAAGAGGGUUAAAUAGUACGUGAAAUUGCUGAAAGGGAAGCGCUUAUGACCAGACUUGGGCGCGGCGGAUCAUCCGGCGUUCUCGCCGGUGCACUCCACCGCCCCAGGCCAGCAUCAGUUCGCGCCGGGGGACAAAGGCUUCGGGAAUGUGGCUCCCUCGGGAGUGUUAUAGCCCGUUGCGUAAUACCCUGGUGCGGACUGAGGUCCGCGCUCUGCAAGGAUGCUGGCGUAAUGGUCAUCAGUGACCCGUCUUGAAACACGGACCAAGGAGUCGUCUUCGUAUGCGAGUGUUCGGGUGUCAAACCCCUACGCGGAAUGAAAGUGAACGUAGGAGAGAGCUUCGGCGCAUCUCCGACCGAUCCUGAUGUUCUCGGAUGGAUUUGAGUAAGAGCAUACGGGGCCGGACCCGAAAGAAGGUGAACUAUGCCUGUGUAGGGUGAAGCCAGAGGAAACUCUGGUGGAGGCUCGCAGCGGUUCUGACGUGCAAAUCGAUCGUCAAACAUGGGCAUGGGGGCGAAAGACUAAUCGAACCUUCUAGUAGCUGGUUUCCGCCGAAGUUUCCCUCAGGAUAGCAGUGUUGAACUCAGUUUUAUGAGGUAAAGCGAAUGAUUAGGGACCCGGGGGCGCUAUAUUGCCUUCAUCCAUUCUCAAACUUUAAAUAUGUAAGAAGCUCUUGUUGCUUAGUUGAACGUGAGCAUUCGAAUGUAUCAACACUAGUGGGCCAUUUUUGGUAAGCAGAACGGGCGAUGCGGGAUGAACCGAACGCGAGGUUAAGGUGCCAGAGUAGACGCUCAUCAGACACCACAAAAGGUGUUAGUACAUCUUGACAGCAGGACGGUGGCCAUGGAAGUCGGAAUCCGCUAAGGACUGUGUAACAACUCACCUGCCGAAUGUACUAGCCCUGAAAAUGGAUGGCGC
RNAcentral lists this ribosomal RNA (1179 nucleotides) under Acremonium potronii. RNAcentral's name for it is "LSU rRNA". It matches the Rfam family "Eukaryotic large subunit ribosomal RNA", at positions 115 to 1328 of the family's 3401-position model. The record is from RNAcentral. Lineage: Eukaryota; Fungi; Ascomycota; Sordariomycetes; Hypocreales; Bionectriaceae.